UGGGGAAUAUUGCACAAUGGGCGCAAGCCUGAUGCAGCCAUGCCGCGUGUGUGAAGAAGGCCUUCGGGUUGUAAAGCACUUUCAGCGGGGAGGAAGGCGUUAAGGUUAAUAACCUUGGCGAUUGACGUUACCCGCAGAAGAAGCACCGGCUAACUCCGUGCCAGCAGCCGCGGUAAUACGGAGGGUGCAAGCGUUAAUCGGAAUUACUGGGCGUAAAGCGCACGCAGGCGGUCUGUCAAAUCGGAUGUGAAAUCCCCGGGCUCAACCUGGGAACUGCAUUCGAAACUGGCAGGCUAGAGUCUUGUAGAGGGGGGUAGAGUUCCAGGUGUAGCGGUGAAAUGCGUAGAGAGCUGGAGGAAUACCGGUGGCGAAGGCGGCCCCCUGGACAAAGACUGACGCUCAGGUGCGAAAGCGUGGGGAGCAAACAGG
Molecule: ribosomal RNA, 429 nt
Filed under: Chloroflexota bacterium
Lineage: Bacteria; Bacillati; Chloroflexota
Description: Chloroflexi bacterium partial 16S ribosomal RNA
Rfam family: Bacterial small subunit ribosomal RNA
Source: RNAcentral